GACAGAGGGUGCAAACGUUGUUCGGAAUUACUGGGCGUAAAGCGCGUGUAGGCGGCCAGAUAAGUCCGCUGUGAAAUCUCGAGGCUCAACUUCGGGCUGUCGGUGGAAACUGUCUGGCUAGAGUCCGGAAGAGGAGAAUGGAAUUCCUGGUGUAGCGGUGAAAUGCGCAGAUAUCAGGAAGAACACCCGUGGCGAAGGCGGUUCUCUGGGACGGUACUGACGCUGAGACGCGAAAGCGUGGGGAGCGAACAGG
This 253-nucleotide ribosomal RNA is filed under the name uncultured bacterium. RNAcentral describes it as "partial 16S ribosomal RNA". It matches the Rfam family "Bacterial small subunit ribosomal RNA", at positions 524 to 776 of the family's 1533-position model. The record is from RNAcentral.